GCUGUUGGAAUGACAAGGACGUCCCCGGGGCCAAACGAAAACAACCCCACCCCCUGCGGCGCCACCCGGCUGGGAGCGGAGAGAGACUGACGGCGGAGGCGGGGGUCAGGGCGCGGACCCGGACCCCAGCCCCAUGGGGGACAGAGUCCAAAAAAACCGGCCGGGUGGAGGAUGCAGCCGGGCGUGGUGGCUACAAGGAAGUGCCCUGGUGUUAAGAACUCAGCCUCUGAAACCCGCCGCCCAGCUUCGAGUCAGCGACGUACUUUUGUUGUCCCGGCCUUAGUAUCCCCGCUGCAAUAAGAGUGUAAGCUCCUAAAGGCAGAAAUCAAGCUGACCUAAGCAAAGACCUGAAGGAGCUAUGAGGACAUCUGGCAGAAGAGGUAAUGCUACGGGCAAGAGGCUGGCCAGCGGCUAUAAACAAGUUAAGGGACUCCUCUGAGCCUCAACAUCCCAUCCCUGGAAUGGAGAGAAGGACGUCUGCCCUGCUUAUCUCAAAAGGACAUCGAUGAGAUCAUAGAAGCCCAAGCUGAGGUUACAUCUGAUGCUAAAAACUAGACGAGAAAGGGUCUGUCUGACCCUCAAGGUCAGCAAUGUGUGUGCAACUCCCCUCUCGGGGUCUGGGGACGCAGCCAUGUGUUCCAUCGCACACCAGGCUUUGGGGAUAUUGUAGGGCUCAGACCGCCGACUGCUAGUUUAUUAAAAGAGCAGCUGCCAUCCCGCCGCGCAGUGGGACAGAGAGCUGCAGCCCGGCGCAGGCUCGACCCCGCAGGGAACCGCGACCCGGGGAUAGGCAGCUCUGGACUGCACUGAUCUGGGACUCUGUCGGCUCUACAGACACACACACGCGCGCGCACACACACACACAUGCACACACGCACGCACACACACACGCACGCACAGCCGCUAGGCCUAGAGUUUAUUUUUCCAGGGGCUGGUGGGGACUCCGCUCCCGCGGCGGGCGGCGGCACUGGAAUGUUAAUUGAAACGGAGCUGGCGAGCGCGGCGCAGAUAAGCGUCGCCCAGCAGCGUCCCCGCCUGCGGCUCCCCGAAUCAGCGAUCCGGGAAGGCCCCGCCGCCUCUCUGGCCGCUGAGGGUUUUCUUUUCCACGCUGAAGGAGUGGAACGCGCGCGGAGGCAGCUCGGCGCCCGCAAACCCCCGGAGUCAGCCCCCGACGGUCUGUCCCAGAACUAAACGGUCUCCGCCACCCAAAGCCGAGAAGCUAAGAGGCCGGCUGGGGGAGGGUGACACGGAGAAAUGGAGAAGCCCACCCAGCGGUUACAUACCGGCAGAUUUUUAUUUCCUUUAACUGGUUGGUUCUUCUAAACAUUUAAUGCAAGAAAUCUCUCGGCCCGCUUCACUUUACUCUCCACCCAUGCUCUUCCCCUAACCCUGAGAAUUUUGCACAGAUUUUCGGGGUUCGCGCGGAGCGCCUCUGAAAGUGAUGGCGGACAAACCGUCAAAAAGGCCUCAGCAUAGCAAUUUAGGAAAAGAUCGUAUCAGAUCCUUAAUUCACACCAUACACUCUAAUACACUCGAAAGUAAGCAAAGAAAUUAUAACAAAUACCAGAAUAAAAUAUGGGUGAAUUCCUUUUUAACCUCAGUGUAGGAAAAGAAAGGUCUUCUCACCAUGACUCAAAUCAAGAAGCAAGUAAACAUAACACAAAUGAUUACAUUUUAUAAAAUGCAUGGUAAGAAAUCACUAUAAAAGAAGUCAAAAGACAAUUGUCAAACAGGAAGAAAAUAUUUGCAACAUAUAGCACACAUAACCAAAGUAACUGAUAUUGAGAAAACUUAAAAAUUGAAAUUGGGAGAUGGAUACAAUUUGCGUUUGUGUAUGUAUGUGUAUAUAUUUAUGUGUUUUUAAUUGUUAUGUAUAUUAUACAUGUAUAUGUAUAGAUACAUACACAUAUGUAUAUAUCCCUUAAACAUAUAAAAGGAUGUUGCACCUCACUUGUAAUUAGAGAAAUGCAAAUUAAAAACAACACUGAGAUACUGUUUCUCACCUAUCAAAUUUGUAAGAAUUAAGAGGCAUGAUCAUGCAUUCCGUUGCCCGGGCUAGCUGGGAAGCAGGCACUCCCAUACAGUACUGGUGGAAUGCAAACCUGUAGAACCUUUCUGGAGAGGAGAACUCCUAAAAAUACUAUAUGUGCAUUUAUGUUUCACCUAUGGUCCCAUUUCUUAGAAAUUUGUCUUUCGACAAAUUCAAUUGACAAUUGUCUUUUGACUCUGAAGACAUGCCUCCAACAAUAUAAAAACACAUACAAACUUAUUAUUGUAAAGUACUGGAAAACUCUAAAUACUCAUUCACAGAACAGUGGUUGAAUAAACUUUGGUACAUUCGUGCAAUGGAGUACUAGGCAACUAUAGAAAACAAUAAGGAAGACCUCUUUGGACCAAUAUGAUGUGACUGCUGAAUAUAUUGUUAAGUGAAAAAAAGGUAACGGCAAAAGAGUAUCUUCAAGAAUCAAUGAGAGCUGGGAACAGCUCAUGUUCUGGGGAGGAGGCUGUGCCGGCCAUGGGGCUUUGGGUGUGUGAUUGACUGCAGGUGUGCUUGCCUUGUGGCAGCAGAAAAAGGAUGCACCAGUGAUCAACCCGUCUCUUAAAUAUGGUAAUCAGAUCAACAUCAUAGAUUUUAAUGAUAAAAGUAUCAUUAUAAAUGAAAACGUUAUCCAUCAAGUGGAUGAAAUUAGGCACAUUAAUGCCAGUCCGGCAGACAAAGGUGAGCUGGUGACAUUCUACAAUAAAAGUUAUUGUGUCUUCUCCUGA
This 2766-nucleotide long non-coding RNA is filed under the name Homo sapiens (human). Its description in RNAcentral is "HSALNT0345708". The record is from RNAcentral. Lineage: Eukaryota; Metazoa; Chordata; Mammalia; Primates; Hominidae.